GACGAACGCUGGCGGCGUGCUUAACACAUGCAAGUCGAACGGAAAGGCCCUGCUUUUGUGGGGUGCUCGAGUGGCGAACGGGUGAGUAACACGUGAGUAACCUGCCCUUGACUUUGGGAUAACUUCAGGAAACUGGGGCUAAUACCGGAUAGGAGCUCCUGCUGCAUGGUGGGGGUUGGAAAGUUUCGGCGGUUGGGGAUGGACUCGCGGCUUAUCAGCUUGUUGGUGGGGUAGUGGCUUACCAAGGCUUUGACGGGUAGCCGGCCUGAGAGGGUGACCGGCCAAAUUGGGACUGAGAUACGGCCCAGACUCCUAAGGGAGGCAGCAGUGGGGAAUAUUGCACAAUGGGCGGAAGCCUGAUGCAGCAACGCCGCGUGCGGGAUGACGGCCUGCGGGUUGUAAACCGCUUUCGCCUGUGACGAAGCGUGAGUGACGGUAAUGGGUAAAGAAGCACCGGCUAACUACGUG
This 468-nucleotide ribosomal RNA is filed under the name uncultured bacterium. RNAcentral's name for it is "partial 16S ribosomal RNA". It matches the Rfam family "Bacterial small subunit ribosomal RNA", at positions 28 to 507 of the family's 1533-position model. The record is from RNAcentral.